RNAcentral lists this ribosomal RNA (2274 nucleotides) under Salmonella enterica subsp. enterica serovar Johannesburg. RNAcentral describes it as "partial 23S ribosomal RNA". It matches the Rfam family "Bacterial large subunit ribosomal RNA", at positions 687 to 2925 of the family's 2925-position model. The record is from RNAcentral. Lineage: Bacteria; Pseudomonadati; Pseudomonadota; Gammaproteobacteria; Enterobacterales; Enterobacteriaceae.
ACCGGGCGUUAAGUUGCAGGGUAUAGACCCGAAACCCGGUGAUCUAGCCAUGGGCAGGUUGAAGGUUGGGUAACACUAACUGGAGGACCGAACCGACUAAUGUUGAAAAAUUAGCGGAUGACCUGUGGCUGGGGGUGAAAGGCCAAUCAAACCGGGAGAUAGCUGGUUCUCCCCGAAAGCUAUUUAGGUAGCGCCUCGUGAAUUCAUCUCCGGGGGUAGAGCACUGUUUCGGCUAGGGGGCCAUCCCGGCUUACCAACCCGAUGCAAACUGCGAAUACCGGAGAAUGUUAUCACGGGAGACACACGGCGGGUGCUAACGUCCGUCGUGAAGAGGGAAACAACCCAGACCGCCAGCUAAGGUCCCAAAGUCAUGGUUAAGUGGGAAACGAUGUGGGAAGGCCCAGACAGCCAGGAUGUUGGCUUAGAAGCAGCCAUCAUUUAAAGAAAGCGUAAUAGCUCACUGGUCGAGUCGGCCUGCGCGGAAGAUGUAACGGGGCUAAACCAUGCACCGAAGCUGCGGCAGCGACGCUGAUGCGUUGUUGGGUAGGGGAGCGUUCUGUAAGCCUGCGAAGGUGUGUCGUGAGGCAUGCUGGAGGUAUCAGAAGUGCGAAUGCUGACAUAAGUAACGAUAAAGCGGGUGAAAAGCCCGCUCGCCGGAAGACCAAGGGUUCCUGUCCAACGUUAAUCGGGGCAGGGUGAGUCGACCCCUAAGGCGAGGCCGAAAGGCGUAGUCGAUGGGAAACGGGUUAAUAUUCCCGUACUUGGUGUUACUGCGAAGGGGGGACGGAGAAGGCUAUGUUGGCCGGGCGACGGUUGUCCCGGUUUAAGCGUGUAGGUGUGUGUUCCAGGUAAAUCCGGUUCACUUUAACACUGAGGCGUGAUGACGAGGCACUACGGUGCUGAAGCAACAAAUGCCCUGCUUCCAGGAAAAGCCUCUAAGCAUCAGGUAACAUCAAAUCGUACCCCAAACCGACACAGGUGGUCAGGUAGAGAAUACCAAGGCGCUUGAGAGAACUCGGGUGAAGGAACUAGGCAAAAUGGUGCCGUAACUUCGGGAGAAGGCACGCUGACACGUAGGUGAAGUGAUUUACUCAUGGAGCUGAAGUCAGUCGAAGAUACCAGCUGGCUGCAACUGUUUAUUAAAAACACAGCACUGUGCAAACACGAAAGUGGACGUAUACGGUGUGACGCCUGCCCGGUGCCGGAAGGUUAAUUGAUGGGGUCAGCGCAAGCGAAGCUCCUGAUCGAAGCCCCGGUAAACGGCGGCCGUAACUAUAACGGUCCUAAGGUAGCGAAAUUCCUUGUCGGGUAAGUUCCGACCUGCACGAAUGGCGUAAUGAUGGCCAGGCUGUCUCCACCCGAGACUCAGUGAAAUUGAACUCGCUGUGAAGAUGCAGUGUACCCGCGGCAAGACGGAAAGACCCCGUGAACCUUUACUAUAGCUUGACACUGAACAUUGAGCCUUGAUGUGUAGGAUAGGUGGGAGGCUUUGAAGUGUGGACGCCAGUCUGCAUGGAGCCGGCCUUGAAAUACCACCCUUUAAUGUUUGAUGUUCUAACGUGGACCCGUGAUCCGGGUUGCGGACAGUGUCUGGUGGGUAGUUUGACUGGGGCGGUCUCCUCCUAAAGAGUAACGGAGGAGCACGAAGGUUGGCUAAUCCUGGUCGGACAUCAGGAGGUUAGUGCAAUGGCAUAAGCCAGCUUGACUGCGAGCGUGACGGCGCGAGCAGGUGCGAAAGCAGGUCAUAGUGAUCCGGUGGUUCUGAAUGGAAGGGCCAUCGCUCAACGGAUAAAAGGUACUCCGGGGAUAACAGGCUGAUACCGCCCAAGAGUUCAUAUCGACGGCGGUGUUUGGCACCUCGAUGUCGGCUCAUCACAUCCUGGGGCUGAAGUAGGUCCCAAGGGUAUGGCUGUUCGCCAUUUAAAGUGGUACGCGAGCUGGGUUUAGAACGUCGUGAGACAGUUCGGUCCCUAUCUGCCGUGGGCGCUGGAGAACUGAGGGGGGCUGCUCCUAGUACGAGAGGACCGGAGUGGACGCAUCACUGGUGUUCGGGUUGUCAUGCCAAUGGCACUGCCCGGUAGCUAAAUGCGGAAGAGAUAAGUGCUGAAAGCAUCUAAGCACGAAACUUGCCCCGAGAUGAGUUCUCCCUGAGACUUAGAGUCUCCUGAAGGAACGUUGAAGACGACGACGUUGAUAGGCCGGGUGUGUAAGCGCAGCGAUGCGUUGAGCUAACCGGUACUAAUGAACCGUGAGGCUUAACCUUACAACGCCGAA